ACCCAGUUAAAUGCCUACAUUAGUGCCCCACUUCUUAUAUUUUUACUUCCAUUAGCCUCUUCGUUUUCCCUACCCACACUCUUCUCCCCUUAUGCACUUGCCACCACUACAAUCACCAUCUCUUCGAAAGAAGAUCGUUGACUCUUACCACGUAAAGUCACCACUAUAAACCAUGACAUUAGUAUCCAAAGUACCUGUUCACUCGACCAUAAAUCAACCACACACCCACACCAUUACUCUCCAGGUAAGCCCCAACCAUCGCCAAUAUUGGCAACCCAACUCACUUUCAUUUAUGCCAAGAAUCAACCCUAAAUCGGCCACCCACUCAUAUUGUUACCCUUCAAGUAAUCCCCAUCCGUCACAAAUAUCGGCGACCUAACUUACCCGCAUUUCUGCCAAUAAUCGACCCGAACUGGCCUCAUACUCACACUGUUACCCUCCAGGUAACCCCCAACCAUCACCAAUAUCAGUGAUUCCCCAUGUUUCAUUACUAACAACCAUCAACAGCCUACAGUGGCAUUCCUACCUUUGAAAAGUACCAGGAUUGCGUUAAUACAAUUUCCAUAAUCACAAUCAAUCAUCAUAUAUGUAUGCAUAUUCAACAAACACACAAAAGUAUUUCAUAUAGGCAUAUAUAUUCAAUUGGUACAUAGAGUAGUUCAUUGUCACAUCCACACAUAUGUACACUCAAUAAAGUCCAUAUAGUUUCCACAUAUUCAUUAUUCCUGUCAUGU
RNAcentral lists this long non-coding RNA (734 nucleotides) under Carica papaya (papaya). Its description in RNAcentral is "long non-coding RNA (CPAP_LNC000615)". Lineage: Eukaryota; Viridiplantae; Streptophyta; Magnoliopsida; Brassicales; Caricaceae. The record is from RNAcentral.